This 76-nucleotide transfer RNA is filed under the name Myxococcales bacterium. RNAcentral's name for it is "tRNA-Lys". It matches the Rfam family "tRNA". From Rfam's summary of the family: Transfer RNA (tRNA) molecules are approximately 80 nucleotides in length. Their secondary structure includes four short double-helical elements and three loops (D, anti-codon, and T loops). Lineage: Bacteria; Pseudomonadati; Myxococcota; Myxococcia; Myxococcales. The record is from RNAcentral.
GCCCCUUUAGCUCAGCUGGUAGAGCAGCGGACUCUUAAUCCGUAGGUCGAGUGUUCGAAUCACUCAGGGGGCACCC